UCACUCUUAGUGUAGUCUUUGAAAAUGGAGGUCCUUGUGCUACUGCCAUGGCUAUUUGUUAUUAUAACCGCUCAGGAUACAUUAUACAGCGUGGAUCAACUAUUACAAAGAGGAAUCAGCAGUGGCGACGGAGUUUCUACAUAUGCAGUGGAUGGCGAUGACGGCGCGAUCCAAUCCAACGAUGGCCUGAAUGCGAACCUUGAGGAACAACAGCAAAAAAACCUGCAAAACCUUGGAACUAUGUUUUUACGGAUGGCACAAGCAGCAGGAUUACGGGAAAAUAAAAUAAAACGCCCACCUUAUCCCCCCACGA
Non-coding RNA from Plutella xylostella (diamondback moth), 313 nucleotides. NCBI's taxonomy places the organism in Eukaryota, Metazoa, Arthropoda, Insecta, Lepidoptera, Plutellidae. The record is from RefSeq and is a predicted model, not a curated record.